CCUACGGGUGGCAGCAGUGGGGAAUAUUGGACAAUGGGGGGAACCCUGAUCCAGCCAUGCCGCGUGUGUGAAGAAGGCCCUCGGGUUGUAAAGCACUUUCAGUGAGGAAGAACGCCUGGUGGUUAAUACCCAUCAGGAAAGACAUCACUCACAGAAGAAGCACCGGCUAACUCCGUGCCAGCAGCCGCGGUAAUACGGAGGGUGCGAGCGUUAAUCGGAAUUACUGGGCGUAAAGCGCGCGUAGGUGGCUUGAUAAGCCGGUUGUGAAAGCCCCGGGCUCAACCUGGGAACGGCAUCCGGAACUGUCAAGCUAGAGUGCAGGAGAGGAAGGUAAAAUUCCCGGUGUAGCGGUGAAAUGCGUAGAGAUCGGGAGGACUACCAGUGGCGAAGGCGGCCUUCUGGACUGACACUGACACUGAGGUGCGAAAGCGUGGGUAGCAAACAGGAUUAGAUACCCCUGUAGUC
This 465-nucleotide ribosomal RNA is filed under the name Vreelandella stevensii. RNAcentral's name for it is "partial 16S ribosomal RNA". It matches the Rfam family "Bacterial small subunit ribosomal RNA", at positions 338 to 795 of the family's 1533-position model. The record is from RNAcentral. Lineage: Bacteria; Pseudomonadati; Pseudomonadota; Gammaproteobacteria; Oceanospirillales; Halomonadaceae.